RNAcentral lists this transfer RNA (74 nucleotides) under Ixodes scapularis (black-legged tick). RNAcentral's name for it is "tRNA-Ser for anticodon GGA". The record is from RNAcentral. Lineage: Eukaryota; Metazoa; Arthropoda; Arachnida; Ixodida; Ixodidae.
GCCUGGUUAGCUCAGUAGGUAUAAGCGCUCCACUGGAAAUAGAGAGGCCCCUGGUGCAAUACCAGGACCAGGCG